Molecule: ribosomal RNA, 253 nt
Filed under: uncultured bacterium
Lineage: Bacteria
Description: partial 16S ribosomal RNA
Rfam family: Bacterial small subunit ribosomal RNA
Source: RNAcentral
UACGUAGGGUCCGAGCGUUGUCCGGAAUUAUUGGGCGUAAAGGGCUCGUAGGCGGCCUGUCGCGUCGGGAGUGAAAACCCGGGGCUCAACCCCGAGCGUGCUUUCGAUACGGGCAGGCUAGAGGUAUGCAGGGGAGAAUGGAAUUCCUGGUGUAGCGGUGGAAUGCGCAGAUAUCAGGAGGAACACCGGUGGCGAAGGCGGUUCUCUGGGCAUCACCUGACGCUGAGGAGCGAAAGCAUGGGGAGCGAACAGG